This 76-nucleotide transfer RNA is filed under the name Candidatus Saccharimonadota bacterium. RNAcentral's name for it is "tRNA-Ala". It matches the Rfam family "tRNA". Rfam says of the family: Transfer RNA (tRNA) molecules are approximately 80 nucleotides in length. Their secondary structure includes four short double-helical elements and three loops (D, anti-codon, and T loops). The record is from RNAcentral. RNAcentral also lists the same sequence under 2 other names. Lineage: Bacteria; Candidatus Saccharimonadota.
GGGGCGUUAGCUUAGCUGGUAAAGCGCCUGUGUCGCACACAGGAGACCAUCGGUUCGAAUCCGAUACGCUCCACCA